UGAAAUCUCGAAGCUCAACUUCGAAACUGCGUCUGAAACUGCUAGUCUAGAGUGUCGGAGGGGGAAGGGGAAUUUCACGUGUAAAAAUAAAAUCCGUAGAAAUGUGAAAGAACACCGGGGGCGAAGGCGCCUUCCUGGACGACUACUGACGCUGAGGCGCGAAAGCGUGGGGAGCAAACAGGAUUAGAUACCCUGGUAGUCCACGCCGUAAACGAUGAACACUAGUUAUUGGGGGUAUUGACUCCCUCAGUGACGCAGCUAACGCAUUAAG
This 271-nucleotide ribosomal RNA is filed under the name uncultured Peredibacter sp. Its description in RNAcentral is "partial 16S ribosomal RNA". It matches the Rfam family "Bacterial small subunit ribosomal RNA", at positions 595 to 864 of the family's 1533-position model. Lineage: Bacteria; Pseudomonadati; Bdellovibrionota; Bacteriovoracia; Bacteriovoracales; Bacteriovoracaceae. The record is from RNAcentral.